This 31-nucleotide non-coding RNA is filed under the name Mus musculus (house mouse). Lineage: Eukaryota; Metazoa; Chordata; Mammalia; Rodentia; Muridae. The record is from RNAcentral.
UUGCCUUGGUGCCCAGGCAUAAGUCUCCCUC